AGCUACGCCAUCAACCACUCAGCCUCCUUCUACAUUCCUGUGGCAGACUCAACUCCCACCAGGGCAACUACAGCUGUGUCUAUGAGUAUUAUUUGUUUGUUUGUUGUUUGCUAUUGUAACUUACUGUUCCUUUCCAGCAUCCCCGGCGCCUAUCAUUGCAUCUGGAGUGAUUUCAGGUUUGUUCCUGCUUUUGCUGAUCCCUGUGAUCUUCUACCUGGUGAAGAAAAAGUGUUCUUCACACAUCUUUGUCUGGCCUCGUCUUUGGCAACCCCUCAUUCCUGUUCAGCAUGAAGAAGCUUUCCCCAGAGACUCAGACCCCUACUCCUAAGCUCUCCUGAGUGUUACGUGCAAACUUUGUCAAGAGCUUGUUGAUUCCUGUGGGCCUUUUGUUCUGCGAACACAUAUGGUCAUGGACAAGGUGGGUCACCUGAUGAAGAUGAGAACAUCUAUAUGAAUGUAGUCAUGCCUGCUGACCAGAGGGAUCAUGGUAAAGACACUGAUGAAGAUCUGGAAGAAGACUAUGCGAAUGUAGAAGAGCUGCGUCGCCCAGCUGCCGUAGAAAACGACUAUGAAGAGGAUGACAUCUAUCAACUAUAAUUGAGACUGGUCUGGUACAUGUGGAUUGAAAGCUGUUCUGUCAUUAUCCCUGUCCUGAGACUCACUUGUAGCCCUCUGCUGGCUCUCUCUGUGUUUUGACUGUCUCUGUCUGCCUUUUGUUUUGGUCCACAAUGUGCUUUUUCCUCCUUCCUGCCAAGUUUGAUCACCACCUGUUCCCCAUUCUGGGUGUUACCCACCUUAUUGAUAACCUGCUCUGCCUAUGAUUUGUUUAGAUUGGUACAGUUGUCUUCAGGUCUACCAUCAGGCCUAAAGUGCUGUGUUAAAGCAAUGUAUGCUGGGCAUCAUACAAUGUCAGAAUGCAUUGUAUGGAGGCCUGUAUGCAUUGUUUUAAUUAAACCAGCACUGUAAGCUGCUGCAUGAAUCAAGUAUGUCACUAUGUAAAAUGUAAAUCAGGUUUCUCGGCCAAGUAUACUUGCGUAUACAAGGAAUUUGGUCUCUGCGUUUAUCCCAUCCGUAAAGUAGUGAAUACACAGAGCAAACAGUGAACACACAGUGAGGUGAAGCACACACUAACCCGGAGCAGUGAGCUGCCUUGCUACAGCGGCGCUCGUG
Molecule: long non-coding RNA, 1170 nt
Organism: Alosa alosa (allis shad)
Lineage: Eukaryota; Metazoa; Chordata; Actinopteri; Clupeiformes; Clupeidae
Exons: 3
Source: RefSeq, a predicted model, not a curated record